UUGAAAGGUAUGGCCCUGCCACAGAGCCAGC
Molecule: non-coding RNA, 31 nt
Filed under: Rattus norvegicus (Norway rat)
Lineage: Eukaryota; Metazoa; Chordata; Mammalia; Rodentia; Muridae
Source: RNAcentral